This 84-nucleotide transfer RNA is filed under the name Clostridia bacterium. Its description in RNAcentral is "tRNA-Leu". It matches the Rfam family "tRNA". Rfam says of the family: Transfer RNA (tRNA) molecules are approximately 80 nucleotides in length. Their secondary structure includes four short double-helical elements and three loops (D, anti-codon, and T loops). The record is from RNAcentral. Lineage: Bacteria; Bacillati; Bacillota; Clostridia.
GCGCGAGUGCUGGAAUUGGCAGACAGGCACGUUUGAGGGGCGUGUGUCUCUGACGUACGGGUUCAAGUCCCGUUUCGCGCACCA